This 3135-nucleotide ribosomal RNA is filed under the name Triticum aestivum (bread wheat). Its description in RNAcentral is "partial small subunit ribosomal RNA". Lineage: Eukaryota; Viridiplantae; Streptophyta; Magnoliopsida; Poales; Poaceae. The record is from RNAcentral.
AUGGCGUCCUCCUACCCCAGCAGGCCCAACCACCGGGGCGGCGGCGUGCACAACCACGGGGGUGGCGGCCGCGGGCACAACGGCGGGCACGGCUACGGCCACCACUACAACGGGAACGGCGGCGGGCGCGGGGGCCGGGGCGGCCACCACCACCGCUGGAACGACUACGGACGAGGCGGCCACCACCACGGGUACGGCUACGGGGGCGGCCACCACCAGCAACAAGGGUACGGCUACGGGGGCGGCGGCCACCACGCGUACGGGUACGGCUACGGCGGCGGCGGCGACGGGAUGUUCCACCACAACUACGGCGUCCCCGGCUACGGCAUGGGCCCGAGCCGCCCGCUGCCGGUGCCGCCCACGAGCCACCCCCACGCGCCCGGCGUCGCGCCAGCGCCAGCGCCGUCCACGAGCCACCCCCACGCGCCCGGCCCCGGCUUGGUCCCGGACGAGCGGCCGCGCUGGAUAACGCUGAUGGCGCCGCGGAGGCGGCCCCCGGUCAUCCCGCCGCCGCUGCGGGCCGCGGAGGCGGCCGCCCGCGAGGUGGUGCUGCGGCUGCACCCGACGGAGGAGGCGGAGCGGCGCCGGCACAAGGUCAUCGACUACGCCAAGAACCUCAUCGGCACCACCUUCGGGUGCGAGGUGUUCCCGUUCGGGUCGGUGCCCCUGAAGACAUACCUCCCCGAUGGUGAUGUCGACAUCACCAUAAUCACGAACACCAACUUGGACGACAGCUUCGUCCAGGACGUCUGUUGUUUGCUCGCAACCGAACAGAGCAGCGACGAUGCCGAGUUUGCGCUGAGGGACAUUCAGGUCAUCAACGCAAAGGUCAAGAUAAUCAAAUGUGUUAUCGACAACCUUGUGAUGGACAUCUCCUUCAACCAAGUCGGCGGUGUGUCCACCCUCUGUUUCCUUGAGCUGGUCAACAAAGAGGUCGGGAAGGACCAUCUCUUCAAGCGGAGCAUCAUCCUGAUCAAGGCUUGGUGUUACCACGAGGGUAACAUUCAUGGAUCUAACCAUUGGUUGAUGUCUACGUACGCAUUGGAGGUGUUGAUUCUGUACAUCUUCAACCUUUUCCACAGCUCGAUACAUGGCCCUUUGCAGGCCCUCUACAAGUUUCUGCUGUACUACAGCAAGUUUGAUUGGGACAACCAGUGCCUUACUUUAAAUGGCCCUGUCCCCCUGCGCAACGACGCCGCUGGGCUUGCUGCCGCAAAUGAGGAAUUACUGCUGAGCAAGGAGCCCCUCAAGCGCUCACUGCGUAAGCUUUUUGAGCUUCCAGCAGAUUCUGAUAGGCGUGACCCAGACUUACGCCUGAAGUACCUCAACAUUGUUGACCCCUUGAAGGGGGAUAACAACCUCGGCACAAGUAUCAGCGAAGCAAACUCUCGUGUCAUCCGGGAUGCCUUUGCAGCUGGCGCAGAGAAGCUCGGAAAAAUUCUCAGGCUGCCUUGCGAACGUAUUGCGGAAGAAGUCUAUGUGUUUUUUACACAUACGUUGCGUAAACAUGGACGGGGCGAAAGGCAGGACCUUGGAGAAAGUGUGUCCCAGUCCAUGCCUGAGCCUGGAAAUGCACGUGGCGAAGAUGUGUCCGGCCUGGGAACUUCUUGCAUGGAUGAAGACGAAAAGAGAAUUCAUCGGAUCUCAGGUUCAACCAACUUCAGGAGCCACUCCGAUCUAUCCUCUUCCUCGGAGAAUGGUCACGAGGUUCCUGGUUCUAACCCUUUUAACGGGUCAAACCGGAACGGUGUCCAUCAAGAGAAGGUGCAGCUUCCUCCUUUCACGCCGGUGAACCUACUGGACCUCUCAGGGCAUGUGAAUUUACACAUGAGAUGCAUACGAAGUGUUCAGUACAACUUGGAGGCCAUGCACGAUAAGCUCCUCAAGUCGGUUAUAGAGGCGUCUUCAGCAGGUGUGCUGGAUGAGGAUCGCUUUGUAGUUCCACCUCUGCGCCCUGCUCCGAGGCCAACUUCAUGCCCGCGGCCGCCUCCUUCUCUCGGCACGGCAGUUGUUCCUCGGCAACCGAUCACUGAGCGCCAAGUUGAACCGGAAUAUCUGCCGUCACCUCGUACCCACAUUCCACCCAAUGGAUUCUCGGCCUAUCCCCCUUUUGCUGGUCCUUGGUUUCCAAACACCGAGGACAUGUCUCAGACUUAUGGAGCUAGCACUUACGUGCAUAACAUGAACUACUCGAUGCCUUUCGGAAUAGAUGCUUUCUCCAGCGGGGUGGCAUUCUAUCCAGCUAUGUGGGAUUUCCCUCAAUCACGUGGAACAGGCACAUACAUCCCCAGAACAGGUUGGAACAGGGACAAGUCGUGGAAUGAUAGGGGAAGGAUGCAAAGGCAGCGGCAAUCAGACCAGGGUUACGGAGAAGGGAGACCGGAUGUUGCCUCAAGCAAUGGGCAUGUUGCGGGCGCAAGCGCAGCAGGACUAACAUUGACGAUGCGAGGUAACCCACACCAGGGUGCCUCUUCAAGCACAACCCCUUCAAGCAACAAUGAGCAGAGGUCUGAGAAUGGGUGGGUGGUGACACGGAUGCCGCCGAGGAUCACGAUUCCUCGUCAUGGCAGCGGCAGCCAGCCCUCUUCACCUGCUGUGGUGAUCACACCUGUCGUCACGGCGGAACAGCAUGGGAACUUGGAGUUCGGAACCAUGGGGCCUUUCUCAGUGGCUCGUCAAAACUCCGUGUUCGAUGAACAAUUCCCUGCUCUCCAAGAAACAACAAGGCAGGGACAACAAGGCCCGCAGAGGAGCCCCAGGCCAGGCGCGGGUGCAACCCCCAGGAGCUGGCCUGCAGAAGCCUCUGGGUCAGCAAUGCAGAGCCCUAGACCCGGUGUGACUAUGAGCCAAAGCUGGCCCAACCUGCCGGCACAUAGCCCCAUGCCUGUUGUGCGUACAAUCCAGAGCUGGCCCCACGUGCCAUCCCCCAGGCCUGGUGUGGGUGCGGCCCAAAACGGGCCCGUAGGAUCCCCCGCUGCCUCCACAUCGCAGAGCCCUCGGCCCGGUACCAGUGCGGCCCAAAACAGGGCUGCCGGGCCUUACCAGCUGCAAGACGACGCUGACUUCCCUCCCCUGGCGACCGAGAACCCGUACGAUGCUGACUUCCCUCCUCUCCAAGCUGCGGCCCGCCGCUGA